AAAUCAUGAUGAGGGCACCUCCUCAAUAGUUCUCCAAAUCGUUCCUAUACUUCAAAUAAAGAUUCUGACCCAUGUUACUGGAACUUUGAUAUCUUUGUUAUCAACUU
Abrus precatorius (Indian licorice) is the source of this 107-nucleotide small nucleolar RNA. Lineage: Eukaryota; Viridiplantae; Streptophyta; Magnoliopsida; Fabales; Fabaceae. The record is from RefSeq and is a predicted model, not a curated record.